AGUGAACGCUGGCGGUAGGCCUAACACAUGCAAGUCGAACGAGUGGCGGACGGGUGAGGAAUACAUCGGAAUCUACUCUGUCGUGGGGGAUAACGUCGGGAAACUUACGCUAAUACCGCACACGCUUGAAUGUGCCGAUGUGGGAUUAGCUAGGUGGCGGGGUAAAGGCCCACCCAGGCGACGAUCCGUAGCUGGGCGGAGAGGAUGAGCAGCUACACUGGAACUGAGACACGGUCCAGACGCCUACGGGAGGCGGCAGUGGGGAAUAUUGGACAAUGGGAGCAAGCCUGAUCCAGCCAUACCGCGUGGGUGAAGAAUGCAUUCGGGUUGUAAAGCUCUUUUGUUGGGAAAGCGGUACCCAAAGAAUAAGCACCGGCUAACUUCGUGCCAGCAGCCGCGGUAAUAC
RNAcentral lists this ribosomal RNA (406 nucleotides) under uncultured bacterium. RNAcentral describes it as "partial 16S ribosomal RNA". It matches the Rfam family "Bacterial small subunit ribosomal RNA", at positions 29 to 526 of the family's 1533-position model. The record is from RNAcentral.